GUGGGAGGGGGCUUGCCCCCGAUGGCGGUAGAUCAGUCAGUGAUGGGUUGACUGACCCAGUGCAAUCGGGGGCAAGUCCCCUCCCAC
This 87-nucleotide non-coding RNA is filed under the name Pseudomonas sp. SJZ094. RNAcentral also lists the same sequence under 1 other name. The record is from RNAcentral. Lineage: Bacteria; Pseudomonadati; Pseudomonadota; Gammaproteobacteria; Pseudomonadales; Pseudomonadaceae.